GGCUGGUCGGAUCAAUUAUAAUAAUUGAUCACAGUCCAUUACAGAUUUCUUUGUUCUUUCUCCACUCCCACUGCUGCAUUUGACAAGUCUUUU
RNAcentral lists this Y RNA (93 nucleotides) under Chrysolophus pictus (golden pheasant). Its description in RNAcentral is "Y RNA (ENSCPIG00010000440.1)". It matches the Rfam family "Y RNA". Rfam says of the family: Y RNAs are components of the Ro ribonucleoprotein particle (Ro RNP), in association with Ro60 and La proteins. Lineage: Eukaryota; Metazoa; Chordata; Aves; Galliformes; Phasianidae. The record is from Rfam by way of RNAcentral.